UGGGGAAUCUUGCACAAUGGGCGAAAGCCUGAUGCAGCGACGCCGCGUGCGGGAUGAAGGCCUUCGGGUUGUAAACCGCUUUCAGCAGGGACGAGGCCGCAAGGUGACGGUACCUGCAGAAGAAGCCCCGGCUAACUACGUGCCAGCAGCCGCGGUAAUACGUAGGGGGCAAGCGUUAUCCGGAUUCAUUGGGCGUAAAGCGCGCGUAGGCGGUUUGUUAGGUCAGGAGUUAAAUCUGGGGGCUCAACCCCUAUCCGCUCCUGAUACCGGCAGGCUUGCGUCUGGUAGGGGAAGGCGGAAUUCCAAGUGUAGCGGUGAAAUGCGCAGAUAUUUGGAAGAACACCGGUGGCGAAGGCGGCCUUCUGGGCCACGACUGACGCUGAGGCGCGAAAGCUAGGGGAGCGAACAGG
This 410-nucleotide ribosomal RNA is filed under the name Verrucomicrobiota bacterium. RNAcentral describes it as "Verrucomicrobia bacterium partial 16S ribosomal RNA". It matches the Rfam family "Bacterial small subunit ribosomal RNA", at positions 355 to 776 of the family's 1533-position model. Lineage: Bacteria; Pseudomonadati; Verrucomicrobiota. The record is from RNAcentral.